This 151-nucleotide small nuclear RNA is filed under the name Cucumis melo (muskmelon). Its description in RNAcentral is "U4". It matches the Rfam family "U4 spliceosomal RNA". Rfam says of the family: U4 small nuclear RNA (U4 snRNA) is a component of the major U2-dependent spliceosome. The structure of U4 snRNA from yeast and human has been reported. The record is from RNAcentral. Lineage: Eukaryota; Viridiplantae; Streptophyta; Magnoliopsida; Cucurbitales; Cucurbitaceae.
AUCUUUGCGCUUGGGGAAAUGACGCAGUUAGUGAAGUACUAACCGAGGCGCGUCAAUUGCUGGUUGAGAACUAUUUCCAAACCCUCUCUUAGGCCUGUGUUUGGCUCGGGCCUUCAAGAAUUUCUGGAAGGGUUCCUUUUGGGGUUUAGCC